UACAGAGGUCUCAAGCGUUGUUCGGAUUCAUUGGGCGUAAAGGGCGCGUAGGUGGCAUGGUAAGUCGGAUGUGAAAUCUCGGGGCUUAACCCCGGAACUGCAUUCGAUACUGCCAGGCUAGAGUACUGGAGAGGAGAUUGGAAUUCACGGUGUAGCAGUGAAAUGCGUAGAUAUCGUAAGGAAGACCAGUGGCGAAGGCGGAUCUCUGGACAGUUACUGACGCUGAGGCGCGAAGGCCAGGGGAGCAAACGGG
Molecule: ribosomal RNA, 253 nt
Filed under: uncultured bacterium
Lineage: Bacteria
Description: partial 16S ribosomal RNA
Rfam family: Bacterial small subunit ribosomal RNA
Source: RNAcentral